This is a long non-coding RNA of Orcinus orca (killer whale), 8319 nucleotides long. RefSeq lists it as uncharacterized. The record is from RefSeq and is a predicted model, not a curated record. NCBI's taxonomy places the organism in Eukaryota, Metazoa, Chordata, Mammalia, Artiodactyla, Delphinidae. The transcript is spliced from 3 exons.
CGCGUACCGCAAAAAAAAAGCAAACAAAAAAACAAAAAAAACCAUUCAGUUUUAUUAAUUAACAUAUUAAGUUCCCACAUAGCCUAAAUAAACCUUUAACAAUCCACCAGUGAUUCUCUAUCAAAAUAAAGAUUACAGGAAUUCAGAAGGAUUUUGUUCUUCUGGUAGAAUGAUCUGAGAAAUGUGUUUUCCAUGGUUUACAAAAUGGAGGCUAAUCAUUUAGUAAACAGGGAUGUAUUAUACAUUAAUUUUAUAACAUCUUAUGGAAGAGUUACCUAUCCUUUUCUUGGAUAUCGAUGAAGAUGUAUUUAUUUCAAACAUGCCAACUAAUAUUCAAGACUUCUAUCUAUUGAUUUAGUGAAUGUUUAUCAGGAUUUUAAUGAACUACCAUCUUUUUAUCCUAAAAAGCAAUUUAAAAUUUAGAAUGAUCCUCUGUCUUAGUUGAAUACAAAGAAUGAUUCCCUGAACCCUCAACUAUAGGAAUGUUUUAAAUCAAUGGCAGACAUCAUCUCCAUUUAGAUUUUCAUUGUACAUUUUACAUUACAGUGUCUUUAAACAUCCAUGGGGAAGUAGAUAUAAAAGAUUCCCAUCAAAAACCUGAGUUUACAUUUCACACUAUAAAGAAAAGCAGGUAGUAAUUUGAUAGUUGAAUUAUAUUCAUUAUUGUUUUCAAAUCACCUCAUAUAUAAUGACUGGUUCCUUCUUUAUUCACGGCAGUGUUGACUGCCAUGUUUGAAUGACUGAUUUUGAAUAGGUAUCUGGUAUCUGUGCUCACUGUGAAUGACUCAUUUUGAGAAAUCAGUGUUCAACUCAUUUGAAUGUUGAAAUUCCCACAGAAAAUCCUCUGGGAAGAAUUUUUGGUUCUACCCGAACCCAAAUAGUCAGACUGCUUUUGUCCUGAAACCCAAACCAUGCAGCUGAACAGAACCGCCCCUGUUGACUGGGUCACAGGUGGGGCCAGCUGUCACCUGUCCACACACCCACUGCCUGGUCCCAAGAAGGCACCCUCCCAUGUAUGGGAGAGAGGGGGAAACGUACAGAUAGGGCCAGCGGCAUUGCCAAGAUGAUCACAUUCUCGUUGUUGUUGCUAGUUAAGGUUUUUCUGGAGUGUAUAUUUAACUUGUUGAUUUCUUUUCUCUCUGAUGUGUAAUUGUUGUUAUACAUUAACUUAACGCCGGGCAGCAGCAUGAACCUACAAAUCGCACUGGUGGGUUUUUGUGUUCUGCGCAGGACAAAGUUCAAAGCUCUGAUAAUUUCAUGGUCUGAGCUCUCCUGCUGAGCGGCCAGGACCUAAAAUAAACUCAUCCCCACUGUGGUGUGACCUCGGUGGUGGCCUUUUGAAGACUUGGAAAGUUUCUUCCAGAGAAACAACUGAAAUGAGAGAGCGAGAGAGACCCAGAAGUUGACUGGCUUUGAGGAAUGAGCUCAUACAGUUGCGGGGCUGGCAACAGCACAGUCUACGGGCAGCUCGCCAGGCUGGAGAGUCUAGCAGGAGCUGAUGUCGCGGUCUUGCCCCGAAGGCAAUCUUGAGGCUGAAUCCCUUUCUCUUUGGUAGACCUCAGUCUUUGAAGGCCACCUACUGAUUGGAUGAGGCCCAACCACGUUGUGGAGGGUCCUGUCAUCUGCUUGACUCAAAGUCUCCUGAUUUAACUGUCAGUCAUAUUUUUAAAAAGUGCCUUCACAGCAACAUCUAGACUAGCGUUUGACCAAAUGACUGACACCAUGGCCCAGCCAAGUGGACACGUGACAUUAACCAUCACCGCCGCCAAGUGGGGAGAUAUGGAUGUGACAGUUUACCUGUGUGGAUGAUAAAAGGUUCUCUUUCCUCUACCUGCUCACAUGAUGUGGAGUUAAUUUCAAAGUAAAAGUGGAAAAUUAGAGAGCUGGGGAGUAACCACAGGAAAAUUCGAUGCUUCACCAGUGAUGAGAAAUGAGAAGUGUGACUAAGGAUAGGAGGGGAGGACACGUCAAGGAUAUGCCAAGGUCAUGUCCUGCGGGUGCAGGGGCCGAAAGCAGCCUUCAGACAGGGAAGGGCGUGCGAGUUGCAAGAGCGGCGGCGACAGCCCAGUAAGGGUGAUGCCCCGGUGCCCCAGAGCCCCAGACUUGCACCCAGGCGGAAGCUCAACCACGCGCCCUGACUUAAGGCUCCAGCAGAAAUGAUUCUCGGUUGGCAUCAGGGUCUGAGUGAGGCCGCUGUGCCCAGCCCCCUCGCUAGAGAGAAGUUACCUUUCAGGAUCUUGCAGCCUUAAAUUUCAGGAAGUGAAAGCAAAGCACGGUAAUUGAGUGGGCACAUUAAUUUUCUGCAUGGAAAACACAGGUUUUAGAGCGAAGGGCUCCACGGAGCAAUUUGUUUGAAAUGGGCAACAGAACUAUUGGAAAAAAUCCAUCAAAUGGAGAGAAAAAGAAAGCAAUUCCAAGAGAUAGGGUAGGAAAUCGUAGUGCCUUUGGCUUCUGUGAGUCCUGGGGAAGUUCCAAUUGGCUAAUUUAUCAAGAAAGCGAUUCCGUUUCCACAGAGUCACACUUCGUCUGCUGUUCAGUUAAAAGGGCCUUGGUGUGGGUCAGGUGGGUGGGAGCGGGUUUGUGCAAACGGAGCAGAAUCAACAAAGAGCUUUGUAUUAAUCCUUUUCCUUCGGGAGGCCCUUCCCGCAGACGCCGAGCUCCACAUUGUGACACUUCGGCAGCAAACUCCUUUUUUCAGAGCAGCGUCACCUGUGCUGUCACUGGUCACAGGCGUCCAGGCUUUCAGACCCAUGAAUUCCUUCACUGUCCCAAGAAAGGGGAGAGUCCCAGGCCAACCCAGACCUCUUCUUCUGAGGCCUCAGGGUGUGCGGGGGCCAUGUCCAGAGGCCACUGAGCUCGCUGUGGCCCCCCAGGGUCCGGUGGCUGCCUUUCUGAGUGGCCGCAGCCGCCUCUGGUUCUAGCCAGCCGUGCUGCCAGUGUCCCUGUGGCCUCCUGCUACAGAGGUUUGACAGAGGCAUGGAGAACAGCCACCCAUCUCCUCCCCCUGCGUUUACUUCUCGUCGAUAUAAUUUGAUGUACGUCAUCCAGGUAGUGAAAGUACACUCCAAGUUAAAUGAUCUCCGAAUUUUCAAAUCGACGGCCUUUUCUCGGUACUCCUGGGUUCUCUGCAGCCAUGACCUGUCGAUCGACGUACUCGAAGCUCUGCCUGGUGGCCGUGCACCUGCCCGCCUGGCUCUGCCCUGCCGCUGCUCCGCAGCGCACUGAGGGCACGUCCUUCUGCAUGUGGGGCUCUGGAGCUCUCCUCCCUCUCAGCUGCAGCCGUUCACUCACUCCGCACAUCCCGGGACACCGGGGUCUCUUCUGAGUCAGGAACCAGUUCUGUGCACGUCUGAUGUGGCAGCGGAGCCCAGCCACCAGCUCUCAGCGCCGUGUCCCCUGCCUCGGGCUCCAGGGGACGGAGUUGGUCUGCCCACUGACGGGGCAUGGUGGGGCGGCGGGGAGCGCGGAGGGUGUGGCUGGGGAAGAGAGGCACGGGAGGCGGGUCUCCGCGGAUUUUGAGAGGCUCCGUGGCCACAGAGGCCUCCGUGUGGGUGGGACAGUGCAGACCUGCGGAGACGCGGGCGGACCGAGGUCCCGAGCGCCCGCACAGGUUCGGAUGAGAGCGUCCUGUUCUUCCUGCUGCUCCCUGAACACCCAGCUCGGAGCCUCGCACGUCCUGGGAGUUCCUUACGGUUUAUGAAAGUCGGUGUGAGUCAGGGCGGCUGUGAACGAUGAGGGCCUGAGGACCAGGCUGGGGAGGUUGACUUUCGACCCAGGAAGGGACAGGAGCGUGGAAGGUGCUGGCUGUGACUGGGGACACACUGUAGGACCUUUCCCUGAGGACAUGGCAUUGAGUGUGGAAUGGAUGGAGAGCAGGAAAUGAUCACAGCUCUCGGUGAGAAGUAGCACAGCCCGAGGCAGGGGGUGUGGCUGUGGACAUGGACACAGAGACCUGGGUGUGAGGGCGGGAGACAGGUGAGGACACGGCGGGGACGUGGGGUGUUCUCAAGCCAUGGGUGUGGACAGCGGGGAGGAUGGGCAGCGCGAGCAGGAGACGCUGGAGGUUUCCUUGUCUCGGGGGCUGCUGAGAAGAGGCCGUGGGUCCUGGUGGAGAUGCUCCUGGUUCUUAGGAGAGUUCAUCCCCGAGCAGGGAAGGGGGGGGGCACACGGAGCUGGAGAAAUCCCCUUGUGGAGCAAAGGGCAGCCGAUGAGGAGAUGGAUAGACGGGGAGCGGCGCCGGGUGGAGCAGCGGCCGGGGCGUCCCAGGAGCCUGGAGAAGAGCGGGGGGUCACGGCGUCCCCGGCUGCAGGGCAGUCGGGUGGGAGGUGAGGAGCGCGCCUUUGAUUGGUGCCGGGCAGUAGCACGUCGGCAGUCAUAUAGCAGGAGCGGUUUCCAAAUGCAGCGAGGCAGCGGCAGGGUUAAACGUGCAGCAGUUCACCCCCGGACAGUCGUCUGUCGAGGGCUCCGCGCGCAGACGCGUGCUGGGUGACGGAGCCACAGCGACGGGCAGCGCUUAGGCAGCCUGGUCCCUCGUAGCGUUUCCGGGCAGUGAGGUGAGAUGAGUCAUCAGGGAGCGGGGAUCCGUUGAGAGAAGUCCAGACGGGAGGGGUCCUGAGGACCGUAGGAACACAGGAGAGGGGCGGGAAUUGGAGAAGAGAGUGUGGGAGCCUCAGCUGUGCGAGCGUCUCGUCCAUCUUCCCACCUACAGGCCCACGUUUUAGGCCCUGACGGCGCCUCAUGGGUCUUCGCUGCCUCUGGUUACGUGGGCUCUGGCAGCUUCCCCCGAACAUGGAGAGCGUCCUCGAAGAACAGAUUCUAGAGCGGUGAGACCCCAGUUGUACAUGGAGCUGAAAUGCACGUUAUGUCGGGCGAGUGCCCGUAGACGCGGUGGUUUAAAUGUGCAUGUCUAGGUGUCCUGAACUUUUGUCGUUCAGAACAGGAUUUUUUUUUUUUAAAGAAAAGAAAGGAAAGCUCACGUAGCUAACAUCACGCUGAGAUUUCUCUUUCCCUUCUGGCCUGCAAGAGCAGGGCAGGACCUGGAGAGGAGAGUCCGGGCCCUUUGCUGGAGGCGGAGCAGCCCUGCGAGAGUCGGGACGUGGCCGGCGGGGGGACGCGCCUCUUGAUAUCGCGGUAGUUGUUUCCUGUGGACAUCUGAGUCGUUCACAGACCGUGGCGUUGGAUCGCUGAUUUUUCAUCCAACCUCCCCCUCACGUGACUUUUGAAAAGACAGUUACUUCACGUCUUCUUAACCUGUGACCGUUUUCGAACUGUGGUCCUUUGAUGACUGCAUCGGUGAUAUUCAGACUGAGUUGGCCACUGUGCUAAGUUGGGUUUCUUCCGUGGCCGAAUCACUUGUAUGCUGUUUAAAAAUUCUACCUGCUUAAGGUAUGUGGAGUCUUGACUUCACCGGCUGGGUGUGAGUCAAUGAUUUCGUCUGUACUGUCCAAGGACAGCUGCAAGAUGUUUGCCUGUUGGAGCAGGAGGUAAACCAGUGCACCUUGUAAGGGUGAAUUACGGCUAAAUUUGUGGGAAGAAGGCAGUGUAGCUUUCUGAAAGUUUCCCCAUCCCCUCCCUCCAGCGCCAGCCUCUGGCAACCACUGGUCUGCUUUCAGUCUCCAUGGACUUGCCUGUUCUCGACAUUUCAUAGAAAUGGGAUCACAUGGUAUAUGGGCUGUCGAGACUGGCCUCUGUCACUUAGGAUAAUAUUUUCAGUGUUCAUCCACGUGUCGUAUGUAUUAGUGCUUCUUCUUUGGCCAAAUAGUAUUCAGAUCUACGGGUACAUUAUAUUUGGUUUAUUUGUGCAUCAGUGGGUGGACAUGUGGUUUGUUUCCACUUUUUUAACUCUUAGGAAUAAUGUUGCUAUAAACAUUCAUGCACAAGUCUUUGUGUAGACAUGUUUGCGAUUCUCUUGGGUAGAUACCUAGGAGUGGAAUUGCUGGGUUGUAUGAUAACUUUGUAUUUGAGGAACUGCCCAACUGCUUUCUAAAGUGGCUGUGCCAUUUUACAUCCCCAUCUGCAGUGUAGGAGGGCUCUGAUUUCUCCACAUCUUUGUCAACACUUGUUAUUGUCGAGAACAAUACGGUAUUCUAGCAAACUCCUAAUUAUUCAGGCACUGAUUAUCUGUGAGGUGGGUUUUCUAGGAUUUUGGUUUCUCUUUCUUUCUUUGUCUUCCAAGCAACUGACCUGUUGGUUUCACUUCAACAAUAUCUAGUUUCACUUCCCUGGGGAUAGGAGGGAACGUGGGAGAAGUUAAACUGGUUAAUGUAGGUACAUAUUAACACCUGUUAACAAGUUGGCCAGAAAGGUUGAAGGAGAAAGGCUGACUGUGUUAGCUUACAUGAUAUUUUGGAUUAAUGUCAAGUAGCUCUCUGUAGGACCGGGGCUAUGUCCUGAGGUACUGUGAUAAUUUGUAAAUUUUGUGUCUUCUUUAAUGCAAAUAUUGACAAUUAAUUAUUUUCUAUAUUAUCUGAAUGACCACUGUAUAGGGGAAACUGCAACUUAAUUUUAUUGCCUCCGUUUGCAUUUGAAUUUAAUUUCUUGGUGCCAAGAAAUUCAACUAAAGUGGCGGUACUUAAUUUCAUGCAGGGUUUUCAAGACACCUAAAGGGGUCUGGGGUAAUAUUUCCAAGAGCUUCCUGUGUUACUCAAAUGGGAUGAGGGGGUGUCAUGGUCAGUACCUCUCCGAUGUUUUCCGUGAAGCCCCCGUAACGAUGGUGAGCUGGAAGACACACUCGCUCCAACGGGGUGAAGGCUUGGCGUCAAGAGGUCCUUCGCCAGCGAACGUCACUGCGAGCUGUCAACUCCGGUCUUUAACAGUCGCGGAGUUUACAUUCUGUCUCGUGGUGGUCACAGAAUAGAUAACUGACAUUUAUCUUACUAUAAAACCAAGUCUUAAAAAACAAAAGAUCAAAUAAAAAUAGCUGCACCUUUCCACAGCACACUAAAAAAUGCUCCAGUUUACAUAGAACACAUUGUUACUCCACGCCAUUCAUUUAUUUAAUAAAUGUUUAUUGGUUGCUGAACUAGGGAUAAAAAAGUAUAGAGAUAUUAUCCCUUAUUUUUUUCUUGAAGGAUUUCUUUUUUUUAAUCUGGAUUUUUAAAAAUUGAUGUAUAGUUGAUUUACAUUGUUGUGUUAGCUUCAGGUAUACAGCAAAGUGAUUCAGUUAUAUAUAUAUAUAUGUGUGUAUAUGUGUGUGUGUGUGUGUGUGUGUGUGUGUGUGUAUUCUUUUUCAGAUUCUUUUCCCUUAUAGGUUAUUACAAAAUACAUACUGAAUAUAGUUCUCUGUACUAUACAGUAGGUUUUUGCUAGUUAUCUAUUUUAUAUAUAGCAGUGUGUAUAUGUUAGUCCUUAAAGGUCCUACAAGGUACUUGAGGAAACAUCAUUAGACCUGAUAGAAGAAAUCAAGUCAACAUGAAAUGCAAACGACACAGGGAUGCUGUGGAGGAGAUGUGGGGGCCGGGGGCUUAAGUAUUCGUGACUAAGUCAUUGGAGAUGACAGCUCACAGCUGAAAGGACCUGAGUUUGCGUUCCAAGUUCUCAUGCUGGCUCUGUGACCUCUGUCAAGCGACCUGCUCGUUCUAAGCAUCCCUUUGCUUCCCCCAAGGGAUCAGGCAUGGUUAAGUUCUUAUUGGAAAUUUCUGGAACCGGGACCGUGCUGAGAGGCAGUGUGGUGUGGAGAAGAGAGAAGGUCAGGCUGCUCUCCUGUCAGUGCCCAGCUCGGGCCUCCUGCUGGGAGCCCUGGACCCCCUGUGAGUCCCAGGACCCACUGUCCUCUGGGUGAAAUGAAGGUAAUUAGAGCUGCGCGUGGAGCAGAAACGAGCGACCAGACUGCACGGAUCCGUGGGGGCAUCCGGUGUGGAAUCGGGAGGGUGAGAAGAGCAGAGGGACAUUUCCAAAACCUCUAGCAGCGAAGCAGGUGCAUGUACCGCACUGCACUAUAGCAUCAAUAAUAGCAGCGCAGGAAAGUGCGAGAGAAAGACGGAAGGCACCUAGCGGGUAGAAAGCAGGUGCAUGUACCGCACUGCACUAUAGCAUCAAUAAUAGCAGCGCAGGAAAGUGCGAGAGAAAGACGGAAGGCACCUAGCGGGUAGAAAGCAGGUGCAUGUACCGCACUGCACUAUAGCAUCAAUAAUAGCAGCGCAGGAAAGUGCGAGAGAAAGACGGAAGGCACCUAGCGGGUAGAAAGCAGGUGCAUGUACCGCACUGCACUAUAGCAUCAAUAAUAGCAGCGCAGGAAAGUGCGAGAGAAAGACGGAAGGCACCUAGCGGGUAGAAAGCAGGUGCAUGUACCGCACUGCACUAUAGCAUCAAUAAUAGCAG